Eucalyptus grandis is the source of this 1876-nucleotide RNA transcript. It is a transcript of the gene named UBP1-associated protein 2B-like, with no coding region annotated. The record is from RefSeq and is a predicted model, not a curated record. The transcript is spliced from 3 exons. NCBI's taxonomy places the organism in Eukaryota, Viridiplantae, Streptophyta, Magnoliopsida, Myrtales, Myrtaceae.
AUGAUCAUGCCAAGCUCCACCGAAAAGCCAAACCCCGACCAGCACCAGCACCAGCACCACCCUCCCGGCCAUGGCCAAGAAGCGAAAGCUCCGAUCCUCCGAUCCCUCGCCGGCCAAGUCCGCCGAGCCUCAGGACCAGCAGGAGCCCUCCCAGGCCGGCCAGCCCGAGCCGGUCCCCGAGGAGGCGGCGCAGCAGGAGCCGCAGGGCAUGGCCGUGGACGAUCCCGCGCAGAAGGAUCCGGCUUCGGAAGUGGAGCCGCAGACCGGAGAACCGAAGCCGGAGAAGGCGGAAGGAGGCCGGAAGGUGAGGGAGAAGAGCGGGAGCUGGAGCAGGAGGAGCGAGCCGAUUUGAAUGCGCCGAGCGGCGGCGGCGGCGGCGACGGCGGCGUCGCGUCGGAGCCGGAAGCGUCGCGGGCGAAUGGAGCUGCGGAUGAGAAUAACGAGGAGGAGGAAGAAGACGGGGACGACGUGGAUGAGGAGCCCGUGGAGAAGCUUCUGGAGCCGUUCACUAAGGAGCAGCUGACUAUGGUUCUCAAACAGGCCGUGGCCAAGCACCCCGACUUGAUCGAGAGCGUGCGAGGCGUCGCGGACGCGGAUCCUGCUCACAGGAAGAUCUUCGUGCACGGCCUCGGCUGGGACGCGACUGCCGAUGCCCUAAUUUCGGUAUUUGGGAAGUACGGGGAGAUAGAAGACUGCAAGGCUGUCACCGACAGGGUCUCCGGGAAGUCGAAGGGCUAUGCGUUCAUCCUGUUCAAGCAUCGGAGCGGCGCGCGGAAGGCUCUCAAGCAGCCGCAGAAGAAGAUCGGCAACCGCAUCACCUCAUGCCAGCUGGCGUCCACGGGCCCAGUCCCCGCUCCGCCCCCUAGCGCGCCUCCUGUUUCGGAGUACACCCUGAGAAAGAUCUUUGUGAGCAAUGUGUCCGCUGAGGUUGAUGCUGAGAAGCUGUUGGAGUACUUUAAGCAGUUUGGGGAGGUUGAGGAAGGUCCUUUGGGGCUCGAUAAACAGACUGGUAAGCCGAAAGGUUUCGCCUUGUUUGUUUACAGGUCCGCUGAGAGUGCUAAGAGGGCUUUGGAGGAGCCGUACAAGAACUUCGAAGGAAUUACUUUGCACUGCCAAAAGGCAAUUGAUGGGCCAAAACCAGGUAAAAACUUCAGCGGGCAUCAACAGCAUCACCACUACCACCAACAGCAGUAUUCGCAUCCCAGGAAAGACAAAAAUAAGUAUGCAGCUGGUAGCGGGUCGGCUCCUGGACAUUUGAUGGCGCCUCCAGGACCAACCGUUGGGUUUAAUGCUGGGGCAGCGCAGGCGUUUAAUCCAGCACUUGGACAGGCCUUGACUGCUAUUCUUGCCACCCAGGAGCUGGGUUGGGAAUUGUAAUUUGCUGGGAGGUAUAGGAGCACCUCCGAUGAACCAAGGUGGGAUGCCGGGAGGAUAUGGUGGCCAACCUGCAGGAAGCUAUGGGAUGCAACCUGGGAUUCAAGGUGUCUAUCAGAAUCCACAGAUGGGUCAGGGGACUUCUGGUCGGCCUCCACAGGGCGGGGGACCGCCAUACAUGGGACACUAGAUUCCUUCAUAGAUGCAUCAGUCAUUUAGUUUUGGACUCUGGUGAAUCUUCUGAAGUUCCGGGAUCUCUUGCAAAGUAUCUUUAAAUCUGAUUAGAAAUUAUUUGUCUUCUAUAGAGAUCCCUAGAUCUCAAACUUGUAUCUUAAUUGCUAUUCCAGCACUUUUUCCCCUUCACUUGUUUUUAAAAACUCUAUAAUUCUUCAUUUUCAUUUUCUUGCUACGUUGAAAGUGUUGGGGAACAGGUAGAGUUUUCAAGCAGAGAACAUUUCCUUAACUUAAAAUUCACCAGCAUGCAUGAGGCUCUAUUAUAUUA